This 253-nucleotide ribosomal RNA is filed under the name uncultured bacterium. RNAcentral's name for it is "partial 16S ribosomal RNA". It matches the Rfam family "Bacterial small subunit ribosomal RNA", at positions 524 to 776 of the family's 1533-position model. The record is from RNAcentral.
UACGUAGGUGGCAAGCGUUGUCCGGAUUUACUGGGCGUAAAGAGCGCGCAGGCGGUCGUAUAAGUCGAAUGUGAAAGCCCCCGGCUCAACUGGGGAGGGUCAUUCGAUACUGUUCGACUCGAAGGCAGGAGAGGGAAGUGGAAUUCCGGGUGUAGUGGUGAAGUGCGUAGAUAUCCGGAGGAACACCAGUGGCGAAGGCGACUUUCUGGCCUGUUCUUGACGCUGAGGCGCGAAAGCUAGGGGAGCAAACGGG